GUUACUCACUGCUCCCCAACUCCUUGGGUAAUUGGGAAGUCAGGACCUGAAAUCUGACUACUGAUGAGCAGCGAUUCAUCUGGCGUCCAGCAGGGGGCAGCAGGCAAAAAGUCAACAAUUGUGAGCGUCCUGCACCGUGGGCAAGCGGCCUGGAGGUGGUGCCCAAAAGCCCCUUGGCUGUGCUGUUCCUGCCGAAGGAUGUUGAAGCAUCCUGGACCCAAGGAUAUAUCCAUGCAAGUAAAGGGACAACUUUCUCUAUAUCUAGACUCAUGUGAGUAUUUAUGCAGUUAUGUGUGUACCUUAGAGGUUCCUUCAAUUUUUCUGCCCAUUUACACAAAUGCACAUAACUAA
RNAcentral lists this long non-coding RNA (351 nucleotides) under Oryctolagus cuniculus (rabbit). RNAcentral describes it as "lncRNA (ENSOCUG00000035708.1)". The record is from RNAcentral. Lineage: Eukaryota; Metazoa; Chordata; Mammalia; Lagomorpha; Leporidae.